UGGGGAAUAUUGCACAAUGGGCGCAAGCCUGAUGCAGCCAUGCCGCGUGUGUGAAGAAGGCCUUCGGGUUGUAAAGCACUUUCAGCGGGGAGGAAGGCGGUGAGGUUAAUAACCUCAUCGAUUGACGUUACCCGCAGAAGAAGCACCGGCUAACUCCGUGCCAGCAGCCGCGGUAAUACGUAGGUGGCAAGCGUUGUCCGGAUUUAUUGGGCGUAAAGCGAGCGCAGGCGGUUUCUUAAGUCUGAUGUGAAAGCCCCCGGCUCAACCGGGGAGGGGCAUUGGAAACUGGGAGACUUGAGUGCAGAAGAGGAGAGUGGAAUUCCAUGUGUAGCGGUGAAAUGCGUAGAUAUAUGGAGGAACACCAGUGGCGAAGGCGGCUCUCUGGUCUGUAACUAACGCUGAGGCUCGAAGGCGUGGGGAGCAAACAGG
Molecule: ribosomal RNA, 429 nt
Filed under: Chloroflexota bacterium
Lineage: Bacteria; Bacillati; Chloroflexota
Description: Chloroflexi bacterium partial 16S ribosomal RNA
Rfam family: Bacterial small subunit ribosomal RNA
Source: RNAcentral